GAUGAACGCUGGCGGCGUGCCUAAUACAUGCAAGUCGAGCGAACGGACGAGAAGCUUGCUUCUCUGAUGUUAGCGGCGGACGGGUGAGUAACACGUGGAUAACCUACCUAUAAGACUUGGAUAACUUCGGGAAACCGGAGCUAAUACCGGAUGAUAUUUUUAACCGCAUGGUUCAAAAGUGAAAGACGGUCUUGCUGUCACUUAUAGAUGGAUCCGCUCUGCAUUAGCUAGUUGGUAAGGUAACGGCUUACCAAGGCAACGAUGCAUAGCAGACCUGAGAGGGUGAUCGGCCACACUGGAUCUGAGACGCGGUCCGGACUCCUACGGGAGGCAGCAGUAGGGAAUCUUCCGCGAUGGGCGAAAGCCUGACGGAGCAACGCCGCGUGAGUGAUGAAGGUCCUCGGAUCGUAAAACUCUGUUAUUAGGGAAGAACAUAUGUGUAAGUAACUGUGCACAUCUUGACGGUACCUAGUCAGAAAGCCACGGCUAACUACGUG
RNAcentral lists this ribosomal RNA (497 nucleotides) under uncultured bacterium. Its description in RNAcentral is "partial 16S ribosomal RNA". It matches the Rfam family "Bacterial small subunit ribosomal RNA", at positions 28 to 507 of the family's 1533-position model. The record is from RNAcentral.